AGCUUGUUACAGGUGUUGCGAUGGCUGUCGUCAGCUCGUGUCGUGAGAUGUUCCGGUUAAGUCCGCUAACGAGCGCAACCCGCGUUUGUGUGUUACAAGUGUCACACAAUACCGCCGGUAUUAAGUCGGAGGAAGGUGCGGAUGACGUCAAGUCAGCAUGACCUUUAUAUCCAGGGCUACACACACGCUACAAUGGUCAGCACAAUAGGUUGCCAAGUCGUGAGACGGAGCCAAUCCUCCAAAGCUGGCCUCAGUUCAGAUUGUAGGCUGCAACCCGCCUGCAUGGAGUUGGAGUUGCUAGUAACCGCAGGUCAGCUAUACUGCGGUGAAUACGUUCCCGGGGAUU
Molecule: ribosomal RNA, 346 nt
Filed under: uncultured Anaerolineaceae bacterium
Lineage: Bacteria; Bacillati; Chloroflexota; Anaerolineae; Anaerolineales; Anaerolineaceae
Description: bacterial SSU rRNA
Rfam family: Bacterial small subunit ribosomal RNA
Source: RNAcentral